AUGGACUUCAAUGGUGGCCAACGGGCUGAAGGUCUAAAUCUCAGUUUCAGUGCAGCUUCAAUGAUCAAAGCUGAUGAAUCUAGUGAAACUAUUGAAACCUCUAUUGCUGAUACAAUUCAACCACUGUCUUCAGAAAAAUAUGUUGUUGAGGGUAAAAAUGUGACACUGUCCUGUAAUUACAGUACCAGUACUGGCAAUGUUAACUCUCUCCAGUGGUAUCGACAGUAUCUCAGAGCAAAACCAGAGUUCCUACUUUUUCUUGAUGAAUAUUCUGAUUCUGAGCCUGAUCGUCGUCUGUAUUCAAAAGCUACAAAAGAAAUCAAACGUGUGGAUCUGGAGAUCUCCUCUGCUGCUGUAUCAGACUCUGCUCUGUAUUACUGUGCUCUGGAGCCCACAGUCACAGGAAACACAAGAACACUCUACAAAAUCCUUUCCUCAAAAAAUGAGAAUGAGAUGUGA
Molecule: non-coding RNA, 459 nt
Organism: Carassius auratus (goldfish)
Lineage: Eukaryota; Metazoa; Chordata; Actinopteri; Cypriniformes; Cyprinidae
Source: the annotation of a RefSeq genome assembly